This 88-nucleotide transfer RNA is filed under the name Nadsonia fulvescens var. elongata DSM 6958. It matches the Rfam family "tRNA". Rfam says of the family: Transfer RNA (tRNA) molecules are approximately 80 nucleotides in length. Their secondary structure includes four short double-helical elements and three loops (D, anti-codon, and T loops). Further hydrogen bonds mediate the characteristic L-shaped molecular structure. tRNAs have two regions of fundamental functional importance: the anti-codon, which is responsible for specific mRNA codon recognition, and the 3' end, to which the tRNAs corresponding amino acid is attached (by aminoacyl-tRNA synthetases). tRNAs cope with the degeneracy of the genetic code in two manners: having more than one tRNA (with a specific anti-codon) for a particular amino acid; and 'wobble' base-pairing, i.e. permitting non-standard base-pairing at the 3rd anti-codon position. Lineage: Eukaryota; Fungi; Ascomycota; Dipodascomycetes; Dipodascales. The record is from Rfam by way of RNAcentral.
UCCGAAAUAGUUUAGUGGCUAGAAUUUGCGCCUGUCAGAAAUUAAUUUCAGCUCGCGCGGGACCGGGGUUCAAUUCCCCGUUUCGGAG